Molecule: ribosomal RNA, 494 nt
Filed under: uncultured bacterium
Lineage: Bacteria
Description: bacterial SSU rRNA
Rfam family: Bacterial small subunit ribosomal RNA
Source: RNAcentral
AUGAACGCUAGCGACAGGCCUAACACAUGCAAGUCAGGGGCAGCACAAGGAGCAAUCUGAGGUGGCGACCGGCGCACGGGUGAGUAACACGUAUGCAACCUGCCUGUAAGCGGGGAAUAACCCGUUGAAAGACGGACCAAUACCGCAUAAUACUAAAUUACUGCAUGGUAAUUUAUUUAAACAUUUAUGGCUUACAGAUGGGCAUGCGCAUGAUUAGCUAGUUGGAGAGGUAACGGCUCCCCAAGGCAACGAUCAUUAGGGGUUCUGAGAGGAAGGUCCCCCACACUGGUACUGAGACACGGACCAGACUCCUACGGGAGGCAGCAGUGAGGAAUAUUGGUCAAUGGACGAGAGUCUGAACCAGCCAAGUCGCGUGCAGGAAGAAUGUCCCUAUGGAUUGUAAACUGCUUUUGCAGGGGAAUAAAGUGCAUCACGUGUGAUGUUUUGUAUGUACUCUGCGAAUAAGGAUCGGCUAACUCCGUGCCAGCCGCAGC